Cavia porcellus (domestic guinea pig) is the source of this 270-nucleotide long non-coding RNA. RefSeq lists it as uncharacterized. The transcript is spliced from 2 exons. The record is from RefSeq and is a predicted model, not a curated record. NCBI's taxonomy places the organism in Eukaryota, Metazoa, Chordata, Mammalia, Rodentia, Caviidae.
UGUGUGCCCGAGACUUUUAAAGGGAAGCCACUGGCUGAGGAAGCACAGAACCCUGGGGACUGUGUGGAGCUCUGCAGGAGUGGCUUCCCGGAGCUGAGGACACUGACUCACGACAUCCUGGAAUUCUAAAGUUUGUGCUUUCAGAGGAACAGUUCUCUCAGUCUGCUUCUUGAUUGUAGAAACGCUGGGUUCCAAUUUUGCUGUCCUAUCAUUUCUGCUCCUUGUAGUUGAAGUAAACAAUGUGUUUGUCAAUAAAAUUCCUUUAAAAAC